UUCGCGGCACACUGGAAUCCGACGGAUCACUCGAAACUUGCUUCAAGUAACUUAGCGGCGGACGGGUGAGUAACACGUAGGCAACCUGCCCCUUAGACUGGGAUAACUACCGGAAACGGUAGCUAAUACCGGAUAAUUUCUUUUUUCUCCUGAAGAAAGAAUGAAAGACGGAGCAAUCUGUCACUGAGGGAUGGGCCUGCGGCGCAUUAGCUAGUUGGUGGGGUAACGGCCCACCAAGGCGACGAUGCGUAGCCGACCUGAGAGGGUGAACGGCCACACUGGGACUGAGACACGGCCCAGACUCCUACGGGAGGCAGCAGUAGGGAAUCUUCCGCAAUGGGCGAAAGCCUGACGGAGCAACGCCGCGUGAGUGAUGAAGGUUUUCGGAUCGUAAAGCUCUGUUGCCAGGGAAGAACGUCCGGUAGAGUAACUGCUAUCGGAGUGACGGUACCUGAGAAGAAAGCCCCGGCUAACUACGUGCCAGCAGCCGCGGUAAUACGUAGGGGGCAAGCGUUGUCCGGAAUUAUUGGGCGUAAAGCGCGCGCAGGCGGCUAUUUAAGUCUGGUGUUUAAACCUUGGGCUCAACCUAAGGUCGCACUGGAAACUGGGUGGCUUGAGUACAGAAGAGGAAAGUGGAAUUCCACGU
This 646-nucleotide ribosomal RNA is filed under the name uncultured Paenibacillus sp. RNAcentral describes it as "bacterial SSU rRNA". It matches the Rfam family "Bacterial small subunit ribosomal RNA", at positions 43 to 674 of the family's 1533-position model. The record is from RNAcentral. Lineage: Bacteria; Bacillati; Bacillota; Bacilli; Caryophanales; Paenibacillaceae.